GAUGAAGAACGUAGCGAAAUGCGAUAAGUAAUGUGAAUUGCAGAAUUCAGUGAAUCAUCGAAUCUUUGAACGCACCUUGCGCCCUUUGGCCAUUCCGAAGGGCAUGCCUGUCCGAGCGUCAUUUCUUCCCUCGAGCGCGGCUAGCCCUACGGGGCCUGCCGUCGCCCGGUGUUGGGGCUCUACGGGUGGGGCUCGUCCCCCCCGCAGUCCCCGAAAUGUAGUGGCGGUCCAGCCGCGGCGCCCCCUGCGUAGUAGAUCCUACAUCUCGCAUCGGGUCCCGGCGAAGGCCAGCCGUCGAACCUUUUAUUUUCAUGGUUUGACCUCGGAUCAGGUAGGGUUACCCGCUGAACUUAAGCAUAUCAAUAAGCGGAGGA
Molecule: unclassified non-coding RNA, 374 nt
Filed under: soil metagenome
Description: partial contains 5.8S ribosomal RNA, internal transcribed spacer 2, and large subunit ribosomal RNA
Rfam family: 5.8S ribosomal RNA (bases 1-121)
Source: RNAcentral